CCUACGGGAGGCAGCAGUGGGGAAUAUUGCACAAUGGGGGAAACCCUGAUGCAGCGACGCCGCGUGAGUGAAGAAGUAUCUCGGUACGUAAAGCUCUAUCAGCAGGGAAGAAAAUGACGGUACCUGACUAAGAAGCCCCGGCUAACUACGUGCCAGCAGCCGCGGUAAUACGUAGGGGGCAAGCGUUAUCCGGAUUUACUGGGUGUAAAGGGAGCGUAGACGGCAGCACAAGUCUGUAGUGAAAUCCCGGGGCUUAACCCCGGAACUGCAUUGGAAACUGUGCGGCUGGAGUGCAGGAGGGGUAAGCGGAAGUCGUAGUGUAGCGGUGAAAUGCGUAGAUAUUAGGAGGAACACCGGUGGCGAAGGCGGCUUACUGGACUGUAACUGACGUGGAGGCUCGAAAGUGUGGGUAUCGAACAGGAUUAGAUACCCGAGUAGUC
RNAcentral lists this ribosomal RNA (440 nucleotides) under uncultured bacterium. RNAcentral describes it as "partial 16S ribosomal RNA". It matches the Rfam family "Bacterial small subunit ribosomal RNA", at positions 338 to 795 of the family's 1533-position model. The record is from RNAcentral.